Molecule: long non-coding RNA, 542 nt
Filed under: Gallus gallus (chicken)
Lineage: Eukaryota; Metazoa; Chordata; Aves; Galliformes; Phasianidae
Description: lncRNA (ENSGALG00010023640.1)
Source: RNAcentral
GCCUCAACACCUUCAUAAGAAAUAAUUUCUUCCUAAUAUCUAAUGUUUCCAUGGAUGAGAGACUGUCAUGCCUUCAGACUGUGUCUCAUUGCUUGAAGCAGAUCAGUUCUGCGCUGCAGCGGGGGAUGUGCUGCACCUGUGGGAUGUACAGAGAAGAAAGCGGGGCCACAAAGAGGGGAAGUGGCUUGCUCGAGGUGAUACAGCAGUUCUUCAGCAGAGGCUGGGAGCGGCAAAAGAUGAGAGACCUUCAUCGUGGAGCCGAGUAUUCGCUAGUAGGGAAGAGCUGAAAGUACUUCGGAAGAAAGGAAGUAUAGAAAAUUAGAGAAGUUGGACUACUCAACUCAUUUAUUUCUGCCUGGGAAGGUUCUUUGCUUCCUUUUGUUUCACAGGUUUAUGUCUGUAUCAAAGCUUCUUCAUAGGCUUAGCAUUUCUGCUCUCUUGUCUUUGCAAGGUAUGGUACUACUUUUGUCCAUUUUUGUGAGUUUGCUUGGCACUGAUCUCACAGAAUAUGUUGUCUUCCAUUAUUAAAUACUAUACUAAUA